Molecule: ribosomal RNA, 462 nt
Filed under: uncultured bacterium
Lineage: Bacteria
Description: partial 16S ribosomal RNA
Rfam family: Bacterial small subunit ribosomal RNA
Source: RNAcentral
AACAAACGCUGGCGGCGUGCCUAAUACAUGCAAGUCGAACGGGGAAAGCUUUCGGGUGAGUACUAGUGGCGCACGGGUGAGGAACGCGUGGAUAAUCUGCCUUAGAGUGGGGGAUAACUAGUCGAAAGAUUAGCUAAUACCGCAUAAGACCACGAGAGCUGCGGCUUUUGAGGUCAAAGGUUUUUCGCUCUAAGAUGAGUCCGCGUAAGAUUAGCUAGUUGGUGAGGUAACGGCUCACCAAGGCGACGAUCUUUAACUGGUCUGAGAGGAUGAUCAGUCACACUGGAACUGAGACACGGUCCAGACUCCUACGGGAGGCAGCAGUAGAGAAUAUUGCACAAUGGAGGAAACUCUGAUGCAGCGACGCCGCGUGAGUGAUGAAGGCCUUCGGGUCGUAAAGCUCUGUCGCAGGGGAAUAACACAAUGAAGGUACCCUGUAAGAAAGGAUCGGCUAACUUCGUG